AGGUGUGAGGGCAAUCUGCCUGUGAAAUCUGUCACCCCAUUGAUCGCCAGGGUUGAGUUGGUUGAUCUAGCUGGCUAGUCUGGUGUCCCCUUCCUCCCUCACCGCUUCAUUUGCAUUGCUCCCACAGCUGCAAGCUCAGUGGAAGAGGACGACCUUCCCCAAUAGAGAAGGACCAUUCUUUGGUCAAGGGUAUAAGAGUAGCUGCAGAGUUUAAGAAACAAGGCAGAGGAUCAUAGGGGAAGAGAGGAAAAAAUGAAAGAAGAUGAAACCAGAGAGGGAGAAAAACCAUAAGAAACUCUUAAUCU
Ursus americanus (American black bear) is the source of this 305-nucleotide unclassified non-coding RNA. Its record names the gene 7SK. It matches the Rfam family "7SK RNA". From Rfam's summary of the family: 7SK was discovered as an abundant small nuclear RNA in the mid-70s but a possible function has only recently been suggested. The record is from Ensembl. NCBI's taxonomy places the organism in Eukaryota, Metazoa, Chordata, Mammalia, Carnivora, Ursidae.